CGCCUGUUUAUUAAAAACAUUGUUUUUUAUAUAUUUAUUUAAAAUUAAAUCUGCCCAGUGAAUUUAAUUUUAAACGGCCGCAGUAUUUUGACUGUGCUAAGGUAGCAUAAUAAUUAGAUUUUUAAUUUAAAUCUAGAAUGAAUGAUUUAAUGAAGAAAAAACUUUUUUAUUUUAAUUUAUGAAUUUUAUAUUUUAGUAAAAAAGCUAAAAUUUUAAAAUAGGACGAGAAGACCCUAUAGAAUUUUAUAAUAAUAAAUAAUUUUUAUUUUUAUUAUUUUUAUUUAUUAUUUUUAUUUAUUUUGUUGGGGCGAUAAUUAAAUUUAAUUAACUUUUAUUAUUUUAAUCAUAAAUAAAUGUUUAAUUGAUCUUUUUAUAUAGAUUAAAAAAUUAAAUUACCUUAGGGAUAACAGCAUAAUUUUAUUAAAAAGUUCUUAUUUUUAAUAAUGUUUAUGACCUCGAUGUUGGAUUAAAUUAUUUUUUAUAUGGAGAUAUAUAAAAAAAAAGUCUG
RNAcentral lists this ribosomal RNA (508 nucleotides) under Iteomyia capreae. Its description in RNAcentral is "partial large subunit ribosomal RNA". The record is from RNAcentral. Lineage: Eukaryota; Metazoa; Arthropoda; Insecta; Diptera; Cecidomyiidae.